AAUUGAGAACGGAAAUGGUUUUUUUUUUAAUGAACACUUUUUAGGUUGCAUGCGAUGCUUGGAUCGUUUCCUGACUGCGAUGCGGUUCAGUUAGUCGUUAGCUUCGACGAACAAUGAACGCAAAGCUUGCUAAGGAGUAAUAUUAUUACUGGAGAUAUCAAGCAACUCUUCUACACAAGAUGCAACUCAUUUCGAAUCCUGAUAGGCCAUGGAUCGAGGCAAGACCAAACUUAUUUAUUGUAAACGAACAGGGAGCCAAACGAUUUUUUAACAAAAUGAAACGCAACGAAAUGAAAUGUAAACCCGCGAUGGGACGCGACGCGCACGGGAAUCGAGUUGAUGGAACUCAACUGCCUGCUAUUUGGUAUACGCGCACAGUGCGAAUCGAGUGCAACAAUAUAGAGGUGGGUAUGUAUAUACAAGGGUAUUAUAGCCUCUCGAGAAUCCGAGCGAACGUUUCACCGAGGACGCGGUUGCAUCUUGGCGAAAAAAAUUUGCGAAUAUUAUAACCCGAUACGAGAGGAAAAGAGAAGGAAUCAGGAGAGAGAGAAUUGAAAGAAGGGGGCAGAGUGCGUCGCCCGGUCGUAAGCUCGACGAAUGAUACAUGUAAUACGCCAUCAUCGGGGAUCAUUAUCACGAAUUUGAGUUCGGAAUCAACGGAUUUGCAAGAACCGAAUCGAUUGCCCAAGAAGAUCUUCAGAGGAUAUACGCUGCAACCACAGGGCCAGGAUCACAUUAUCACCGCAAGUGAUUCGUCGGGACUAGACACACGUUGCGAAGGGCGCACCACUUUCAAACUAAUUACAUACAAGAAUAAUAAGUGUUACCGUUAUCCUUUUAGUCUUUUUGAAAAACGUUACACUUUUUGAAUUUUCCCAAUCGAACAACUCGUGCACAAUUAUAUGUAUGUGUACAAUUGUAACGAUUUAAAAUUCAAUGGUCACCACCACCACUACAUUAUCGCUGAUCAAUCGUGUGGUAUAUAGGUAAUAUUUAUUAAAAUGAUUGCUGUUGCAAUUCGGGAACCCCACGAGCCACCUGUACCAUGAUCAAAAUGGAACAAGCCAGGAUCGCAAUUCAUACAAGUAUUCUAAUUGUAUUCGAAUCUUGGAGUUAUAUUCCUUCUAUUCUUUUGACGCUCCCCGCGCACCUCAGAUUUUACCAGUUAAUUAGAAAAAAAAAAUCCAAAAAAUAAAAGUAAAGGGGAAAACGAAUAAAGUAAAGAGAAAAAAAUAAUUAUCAUCCCUCAUUUUUUACGAAAAUCAUUGAUCUUAUGAGUUAUAAUAGUGGUAGUGAACUAAUAUCAAUUAUUAUUAUUAUAGUUGUUGUUAUAAUUGUAAUUAUUUUAUGAUUAUUUUUAUUAAAAUUGUUGUAUCGACUGAUCGAAAAUAAAACAAAACGAUCUAAACAAAGAACGAAAUGACUUCGCUUUGU
Molecule: long non-coding RNA, 1434 nt
Organism: Athalia rosae (coleseed sawfly)
Lineage: Eukaryota; Metazoa; Arthropoda; Insecta; Hymenoptera; Athaliidae
Exons: 3
Source: RefSeq, a predicted model, not a curated record